RNAcentral lists this unclassified non-coding RNA (300 nucleotides) under uncultured fungus. RNAcentral describes it as "partial contains small subunit ribosomal RNA, internal transcribed spacer 1, and 5.8S ribosomal RNA". The stretch from base 1 to 73 matches the Rfam family "Eukaryotic small subunit ribosomal RNA", at positions 1759 to 1831 of the family's 1831-position model. Lineage: Eukaryota; Fungi. The record is from RNAcentral.
CCAAACUUGGUCAUUUAGAGGAAGUAAAAGUCGUAACAAGGUUUCCGUAGGUGAACCUGCGGAAGGAUCAUUACAAAAGUUAUACACUUGGGGAACGGACUCGUCCUUCGGGACUUGAGGCCUGACUCCAUUUGUAACACAACUUUCAACCACUUGUGAACAUGUAACAAAUUUUUAUCUCACCAAUUGACUGUUAACGAAGUCUGAUUCAAAUUGUAUUGGUGUUUAUAGACACUAGUAAAAUAUGAAACAACUUUUGGCAACGGAUCUCUUGGCUCUCGCAUCGAUGAAGAACGCAGC